This 25-nucleotide non-coding RNA is filed under the name Cricetulus griseus (Chinese hamster). Lineage: Eukaryota; Metazoa; Chordata; Mammalia; Rodentia; Cricetidae. The record is from RNAcentral. RNAcentral also lists the same sequence under 1 other name.
UUGGUCCGAGAGUAGUGGUGUUUAC